AACUGCUCACUGCCAUGCUAUUAGCUACGUUAAUGGUUUUGUCAAAUAAAUGGAAUGUAAAAUUUUAAAAAAAGUCUAAAAGUCAGGCUUUGCAAGAAUUUAAAGAAAAAAUGAAUUCCUAAUUUCAACAUUAACAGAAGAAAACUUUAAACUUAUUCCCACAAAGGGCAGACAUGAAUUCUCACAAUACAUCCUUGGAGGUGACUGCAAACAUUAUAUAGGUUUGGACCCAAAUACUGGAAUUCUUUACUCAUUAAAAUUUGCAAUUGAUAAAACAGAUUUGGGUUAAAAGAGAAAAGGAGAAAGGAAGAAACAAAGAAAAGCCAGUUUUCAAAUUGUCUUCAAUUCUGGUAUCUACAUGUCAAGACAUAAACAGAUGCUGGAUAAGGUCCAAAGAAACUAAAGUGAUCACAAAAUCAUUGAUUGCUGUAUGAGAAUCCAAACAACAGGAUUUCAUUCCCUGUGCUGAGCCUCCUUUCAGUUUCCUCUUCCUACCUAUGUCUCAGCUGAAAACUUAAGACCACUCACCCUACAGCCAAUGGUUCCACCUUCUGCAGCUGUCGUCUAAAUUCCAAAUGCAGCCAUGUCAAGGCACCUGCACAUGGCAGCUGUAAAAGAAACACUGGCACUUUACUGCUGAGAGGAAAGGUAGUGCCAUUUUUUGAGCAUCGGUUCCCUCCCAGAGAGGAUGACAGCUGGCAACUCUGUCCUACAGAAAAUAGGAAAGCAAGAGAAACAUAUACAGAAAUGCCUACAUAUGAUGUCACUCGGUAGCCACAGC
RNAcentral lists this long non-coding RNA (781 nucleotides) under Homo sapiens (human). RNAcentral's name for it is "novel transcript". The record is from RNAcentral. Lineage: Eukaryota; Metazoa; Chordata; Mammalia; Primates; Hominidae.